GUGCUUGGUUUGGCAGCACAUACAUUAAAAUUGAACCAUACAGAGAAGAUUAGCAUGGCUCCUGCGUUAGGAUGACAUGCAAAUUCGUGAAGUAUUCUAUAUUUUU
Molecule: small nuclear RNA, 106 nt
Organism: Diceros bicornis minor
Lineage: Eukaryota; Metazoa; Chordata; Mammalia; Perissodactyla; Rhinocerotidae
Source: RefSeq, a predicted model, not a curated record